Molecule: ribosomal RNA, 696 nt
Filed under: Triticum aestivum (bread wheat)
Lineage: Eukaryota; Viridiplantae; Streptophyta; Magnoliopsida; Poales; Poaceae
Description: partial small subunit ribosomal RNA
Source: RNAcentral
AUGCGCUGCCGUCCCGGCUCGCCUCCGCGCCGCCAACUGCUAUUGCUGCCCAGGCCCGCACCACGGCUUCCCGACGGGGCAUGGCCCCUCUGCUCGCUCCUGUCCCUCGCCAGAUGCACGCGCAGGAGCGGCCUCUGCUCUUCUUCGCCCGAGCCGGACUGCGUCGCUAAUGCGCCUCUGCUCCGCGGCUCCCCUCCGUGGCCGCCCUCGGGUCCGCUCGUGGCCGGGUCGCCUGCGCCGUUGCCCUCUCGCGCGCAGGGCCCCUGCCGCGCGGCUCCGCGCUCCAGGCCUCCGACUGCCCGGCUGCUCCUGCCGGCUCCCCGUCCGACUGCUCUGCCUGGCCGACUGCCGGCCCGCUCGCCUCCGCCCACGCGUAUGCGCUGCCGUCCCGGCUCGCCUAAUGCGCCUCUGCUCCGCGGCUGCCCUCCGUGGCCGCCCUCGGGUCCGCUCGUGGCCGGGUCGCCUGCCGCGCCGGGCAGCUCGCCCCGACNNNNNNNNNNNNNNNNCUCCGCCUCUGCCCAGCUGCGCCUCGCGCGCUCGGCUCGGUGCGCCCGCGACCCGGCCCUGGCUGGCUCCGCCACUCGGCCCCCCUCGCCGCCACCUGGCCUCGCCGGCUAUAGCUCCCGCCGCAAGCGCCGUGGUGGGCUGUGCCCCGCCGGGUCACCGCUCCGGCCGUCUGCUGUGGCCGACACCUGA